AAUAUGAACUCUAAUGUGUGUGACCUCAUAGGUCUGAAUCUAAGUCGGCAGCAUAGAAAUAAAUUUUUGUACCAAUCGAAGUGACCAUCUAGCAAUGGUACUCGAUGGUCGGAUAGGUCGAAUGUGUAGAACAACAUCCUUCGAACCCAUGCAGAUAUAGUUUCUAUAUAAUUCAUCUCCUUGACCAAAAUACUCAUAGGAUACCUCA
RNAcentral lists this long non-coding RNA (208 nucleotides) under Elaeis guineensis (African oil palm). RNAcentral's name for it is "long non-coding RNA (EGUI_LNC066244)". Lineage: Eukaryota; Viridiplantae; Streptophyta; Magnoliopsida; Arecales; Arecaceae. The record is from RNAcentral.